Onthophagus taurus is the source of this 105-nucleotide non-coding RNA. The record is from RefSeq and is a predicted model, not a curated record. NCBI's taxonomy places the organism in Eukaryota, Metazoa, Arthropoda, Insecta, Coleoptera, Scarabaeidae.
GAUAGAAUAAUCGCUCAAUAAAUUCCCUUUUUCUAAGAAAAAUGCACCAAUCGUCCACGCACAAACUGGUUUUCCGAGUUCGACGUCACGCCACAUGUUUUCAAA